Molecule: long non-coding RNA, 1957 nt
Organism: Oryctolagus cuniculus (rabbit)
Lineage: Eukaryota; Metazoa; Chordata; Mammalia; Lagomorpha; Leporidae
Source: Ensembl
GGGUUGGCUUGCUGAGGAGAAGAUAAAAGAGACAAAAUCAGCUAAGGCUAAAGUUUUUGGAAACACUGGACUGGGGACCAGCUCUAGUGUUAUGGCAGAGCGGGUCAGCCCCUGCACCCAAAUGGGUCAUUGCGGACUCAGAAACUCAGCCUUCACAUAAAUAAGUAAAUCUUUUUUUUAAAAAAAGAUUUAUUUAUUUAUUUAUUUGAGAGGCAGAGUUACAGACACACAGAGAGAGACAGAGAGGGUCUUCUGUACACUGGUUCACUCCCCAAAUGGCUGCAAAGGCCAGAGCUGGGCUUAUCUGAAGCCAGGAGCCAGAAGCUUCUUCCUGGUCUCCCACAUGGGUGCAGGGGCCCAAGGACUUGGGCCAUCUACCACCGCUUCCCAGGUACAUUAGCAGGGAGGUGGAUGGGAAAUGGAGCAGCUGGGACUCAAAUUGGCACCCAUAUGGGAUGUCAGUUUAACGUGCUGUCUCACAGCAAUGGCCCCAAAUAAGUAAAUCUUGAAAAGAAGGAAGGAAGGAAGGAAGGAAGGAAGGAAGGAAGGAAGGAAGGAAGGAAAGCAAGCAAGCAAAGCAGUGAUGAAACCAGCAGAAAGCACAGUGGAGGAAGGUGCAAAAAUAGAAUCCAUGUUGCAAAUGUUUGACUCCCAUAAGAACAGCUGGGAACAGACCCUGAGGAGGCGGAGCAGGAGAUAGGGAAGCAGGCUCAGUGCCACAGCUCUGCAGGCAUCUGGCCAACUCCAGGCCUUACUGCAGCCCUCCUCGCAGGCUCCUCAGGCCCAGGGAUUGUCUGCCCCAGGAAACAUGAGGCGAGGAGGGGUCUAGCCCAGAGAACAGGACGGGAUGGAGGCUCUGGCGGCCGCCCCUGCCCUCUGGACCGCCUUGGGGGCAGGCGCGGGCGGCCUGGACCGGGCCAUGCAGCCGCCCCGCGCAGCCUUGGACUCAGCGUGGGGUGUGCAGCGGGCGGGGCCGGGGCGGGGGUGCGGACUGCAGGACGUGCCGGACGUGCGUGGCCCCCGGGCUUGCUGCACAGCGCACUGGGCCCCGCACCCCCCGCGGCUGCUCCCAGCCCCUCGGCCGCGCCCGAGCACCGCUCAGCUUCCGCAGCCUGCGUGGGGGGCCACAGGCUCAGGCCCGAUGGAGGGGGCGGGGAACCCCGCGGGGAAGGGACCCGGUGCCCCUGGCAGCCGCCCCCGACCCUCGGGGCCCUGCCCUGCCGAGGCAAUAAAGACCAGAAAACCACGGAAAAAAAAAAAAGCCAGCCUUCCCGUGGGACGCAACCCCUUUACCUGCAUCCCCCAGGCAUGUGCAGGCUGCCCCAGACCACUCCAUCAGUCCAGGCUGCCCAUGUGUGGAGCAGACCUCCACCUCUGUGAGGACCGAAUUCUCCACCCUCAUUGUGCCCUUGACGUGUGAGCUGAGUUAGGCUCCACCAGGCUGGGUCCCUGGGAGCUAGGAGAGAGGAAGCAGCUGGUAAGGGCAGUGGGAUCAGCCCUGCACGUAAGGGGUCCUUUAGUGUCAGCUCUGCUCCACCCUUGUCUUUGCAUUGUCUCCCCUGGUACACACGGCUUUCUCCUCCUGGAGGGACAGCAGUGGCCUGCUGCACAAGGCAGCUGCCGUCCAGACAGCUCGGUGGCUGAGGGCUGGGAGGCCUCCCCUCCUCUCCUCCACCAGCCUCUCCUGCCUGUCUCCACUAAUUCCGUGCCUUUCUGGAUUUCUAUUCACUGGAACAAAAAUGACAUUGUGACCAUGACCACGUUACCCUGAAUGGAAACACAAAGAACAGGACUGAUUAAGCUGUUUGGCAUUCCUUGUCGCAUGAUCUACACGGAAACAUACCACACCAGAUGUUCCAUUCACAGCUCUGAAAGUUCUCCUCUGCUUUUGUCUCCAGAUGACUGUCCCACAAAUGUUUUUUUAUUUGUUCCCUUUGUAUUUAUGAUUUAAUUUAAG